RNAcentral lists this ribosomal RNA (543 nucleotides) under uncultured bacterium. Its description in RNAcentral is "bacterial SSU rRNA". It matches the Rfam family "Bacterial small subunit ribosomal RNA", at positions 777 to 1318 of the family's 1533-position model. The record is from RNAcentral.
AAUAGAUACCCCGGUAGUCCACGCCGUAAACGUUGGGCGCUAGAUGUGGGGACCAUUCCACGGUUUCCGUGUCGCAGCUAACGCAUUAAGCGCCCCGCCUGGGGAGUACGGCCGCAAGGCUAAAACUCAAAGGAAUUGACGGGGGGCCCGCACAAGCGGCGGAGCAUGCGGAUUAAUUCGAUGCAACGCGAAGAACCUUACCAAGGCUUGACAUAUACGAGAACGCUCUAGAAAUAGAGAACUCUUUGGACACUCGUAUACAGGUGGUGCAUGGUUGUCGUCAGCUCGUGUCGUGAGAUGUUGGGUUAAGUCCCGCAACGAGCGCAACCCUCGUUCUAUGUUGCCAGCGGUCCGGCCGGGAACUCAUAGGAGACUGCCGGGGUCAACUCGGAGGAAGGUGGGGAUGACGUCAAAUCAUCAUGCCCCUUAUGUCUUGGGCUUCACGCAUGCUACAAUGGCCGGUACAAAGGGCUGCAAUACCGUAAGGUGGAGCGAAUCCCAAAAAGCCGGUCUCAGUUCGGAUUGAGGUCUGCAACUCGACCU